Molecule: ribosomal RNA, 253 nt
Filed under: uncultured bacterium
Lineage: Bacteria
Description: partial 16S ribosomal RNA
Rfam family: Bacterial small subunit ribosomal RNA
Source: RNAcentral
UACGGAGGGGGCUAGCGUUGUUCGGAAUUACUGGGCGUAAAGCGCACGUAGGCGGCUUUGUAAGUUAGAGGUGAAAGCCUGGGGCUCAGCUCCAGAACUGCCUUUAAGACUGCAUCGCUUGAAUCAUGGAGAGGCGGGUGGAAUUCCGAGUGUAGAGGUGAAAUUCGUAGAUAUUCGGAAGAACACCAGUGGCGAAGGCGGCCCGCUGGACAUGUAUUGACGCUGAGGUGCGAAAGCGUGGGGAGCAAACAGG